Molecule: non-coding RNA, 94 nt
Filed under: Secundilactobacillus mixtipabuli
Lineage: Bacteria; Bacillati; Bacillota; Bacilli; Lactobacillales; Lactobacillaceae
Description: Lactobacillus mixtipabuli TPP sequence
Rfam family: TPP riboswitch aptamer (THI element)
About the family: Vitamin B(1) in its active form thiamin pyrophosphate (TPP) is an essential coenzyme that is synthesised by coupling of pyrimidine and thiazole moieties in bacteria. The previously detected thiamin-regulatory element, thi box was extended, resulting in a new, highly conserved RNA secondary structure, the THI element, which is widely distributed in eubacteria and also occurs in some archaea. Analysis of operon structures identified a large number of new candidate thiamin-regulated genes, mostly transporters, in various prokaryotic organisms.
Source: Rfam by way of RNAcentral
GUUUGUGGUCUGGGGUGCUGUUUGAUCAGCUGAGACAUACCCAAGGAACCUGACGCAGUUAGUACUGCCGUAGGGAGCACCAUUUCUUUUAGUC